GAUAUGGCUCAGGAUGAACGCCAGCUACAGGCUUAACACAUGCAAGUCGAGGGGCAGCAUGGUCUUAGCUUGCUAAGGCCGAUGGCGACCGGCGCACGGGUGAGUAACGCGUAUCCAACCUGCCUUACACUCUUGGACAGCCUUCUGAAAGGGAGAUUAAUACAAGAUGUUAUCAUGAGUAAGCAUUUUCGCAUGAUUAAAGGUUUACCGGUGUAAGAUGGGGAUGCGUU
This 230-nucleotide ribosomal RNA is filed under the name uncultured bacterium. RNAcentral describes it as "partial 16S ribosomal RNA". It matches the Rfam family "Bacterial small subunit ribosomal RNA", at positions 15 to 237 of the family's 1533-position model. The record is from RNAcentral.